This 72-nucleotide transfer RNA is filed under the name Camelus bactrianus (Bactrian camel). It matches the Rfam family "tRNA". Rfam says of the family: Transfer RNA (tRNA) molecules are approximately 80 nucleotides in length. The record is from Rfam by way of RNAcentral. Lineage: Eukaryota; Metazoa; Chordata; Mammalia; Artiodactyla; Camelidae. RNAcentral also lists the same sequence under 2 other names.
GAGGGUAUAGUUCAGUGGUAGAGCAUAUGUCUGGCAUGCACAAGGUCAUGGGUUUGAUCCCCAGUACCUCUG